Molecule: ribosomal RNA, 449 nt
Filed under: uncultured bacterium
Lineage: Bacteria
Description: partial 16S ribosomal RNA
Rfam family: Bacterial small subunit ribosomal RNA
Source: RNAcentral
AACGAACGCUGGCGGCAGGCUCAACACAUGCAAGUCGAACGAGAUCUUCGGAUCUAGUGGCAGACGGGUGAGGAACACGUGGGAACAUCCCUUUCAGUUCGGAAUAACGUUGGGAAACUAACGCUAAUACCGGAUACGUCCUUCGGGAGAAAGAUUUAUCGCUGAAAGAUUGGCCCGCGUCUGAUUAGCUAGUUGGUGAGGUAACGGCUCACCAAGGCUACGAUCAGUAGCUGAUCUGAGAGGAUGAUCAGCCACAUUGGGACUGAGACACGGCCCAAACUCCUACGGGGGGCAGCAGUGGGGAAUAUUGGACAAUGGGCGCAAGCCUGAUCCAGCCAUGCCGCGUGAGUGAUGACGGCCUUCGGGUUGUAAAGCUCUUUUGUCCGGGAAGAUAAUGACUGUACCGGAAGAAUAAGCCCCGGCAAACUUCGUGCCAGCCGCCGCGGUAA